CCUACGGGAGGCAGCAGUAAGGAAUCUUCCACAAUGGACGAAAGUCUGAUGGAGCAACGCCGCGUGCAGGAUGAAGGCUUUCGGGUCGUAAACUGCUUUUAUAUGGGAAGAUUAUGACGGUACCAUAUGAAUAAGGACCGGCUAACUACGUGCCAGCAGCCGCGGUAAUACGUAGGGUCCAAGCGAUAUCCGGAAUUACUGGGCGUAAAGCGUGUGUAGGUGGAUUAAUAAGUGUGAUGCGAAAUCCGGCGGCUCAACCGUUUGGACUGUGUCGCAUACUGUUAGUCUAGAGGACGGCAGAGGUAAGUGGAAUUACGGGUGUAGCAGUGAAAUGCGUAGAUAUCCGUAGGAACACCAAUGGCGAAGGCAGCUUACUGGGCCACACCUGACACUGAGACACGAAAGCGUGGGGAGCGAACAGGAUUAGAUACCCUGGUAGUCCACGCCGUAAACGAUGCAUACUAUUAGUAUGGGGUAUCGACCCCCUGUGCUGAGAAGCUAACGCGAUAAGUAUGCCGCCGUGGGAGGUACGGGCGGCGAGACUUAAACUACAAUAGAAGUAGACGGCGNGAACGUAGCCGACGGACGACGACGAGGGAGGUAGG
This 605-nucleotide ribosomal RNA is filed under the name uncultured bacterium. RNAcentral's name for it is "bacterial SSU rRNA". The stretch from base 1 to 520 matches the Rfam family "Bacterial small subunit ribosomal RNA", at positions 338 to 873 of the family's 1533-position model. The record is from RNAcentral.